UGGAGAUGGUUGCGGUAAUCUU
RNAcentral lists this non-coding RNA (22 nucleotides) under Arabidopsis thaliana (thale cress). Lineage: Eukaryota; Viridiplantae; Streptophyta; Magnoliopsida; Brassicales; Brassicaceae. The record is from RNAcentral.